UUUUCUGUACAGUAAGAACACCAAACUGUGCAUCAUCCUUUCUGAAUCCAUUUGAAUUGAGUAUUGACAUAUCAGAGGAAUCUGGCACUUUAAAAGGAGAUGAUGAUGAAACAUACUAUCCAAGUUUCAACUUCCACUCAAUUAGAAGAGGAUAAGAAAUCCAGAUUUGAAAAUUGACUCCUAUUCAGAGUGACAUGAACAUAUUUCAAAACUAUAUGACAGUGUCUAUACAAUAUUAAAUUUGCUGUAGGUAGACUGUAGUAAUAUUUUUCUGCUACCAAAGUUUUAAACACAUCAUUGACAUUACUUUAUAGACUGGGCAUAUUUCUUGUAAUUCAAUACAUAGUUUUCAUAUAACAGUAGAAGACAUCAAAGCAUCCAAUUGCCAUGUGUUGAAAAUAAAUGUUUUCUCCAAGUAGAAUAUCUAUUGAUCUUAUUACUUAUAAUCUGACAAAUUAUUUUAGGGGCGAGAUCAAAUAUCCAAUGUUUG
Long non-coding RNA from Ostrea edulis (European flat oyster), 490 nucleotides. RefSeq lists it as uncharacterized. The record is from RefSeq and is a predicted model, not a curated record. The transcript has 2 exons. Lineage: Eukaryota; Metazoa; Mollusca; Bivalvia; Ostreida; Ostreidae.